This 828-nucleotide ribosomal RNA is filed under the name Streptomyces sp. BC23. RNAcentral describes it as "bacterial SSU rRNA". It matches the Rfam family "Bacterial small subunit ribosomal RNA", at positions 44 to 885 of the family's 1533-position model. Lineage: Bacteria; Bacillati; Actinomycetota; Actinomycetes; Kitasatosporales; Streptomycetaceae. The record is from RNAcentral.
GGGGCUUAAACAUGCAGUCGAACGAUGAACGCCUUUCGGGCGGGGAUUAGUGGCGAACGGGUGAGUAACACGUGGGCAAUCUGCCCUGCACUCUGGGACAAGCCCUGGAAACGGGGUCUAAUACCGGAUAUGACUGUCCAUCGCAUGGUGGAUGGUGUAAAGCUCCGGCGGUGCAGGAUGAGCCCGCGGCCUAUCAGCUUGUUGGUGAGGUAGUGGCUCACCAAGGCGACGACGGGUAGCCGGCCUGAGAGGGCGACCGGCCACACUGGGACUGAGACACGGCCCAGACUCCUACGGGAGGCAGCAGUGGGGAAUAUUGCACAAUGGGCGAAAGCCUGAUGCAGCGACGCCGCGUGAGGGAUGACGGCCUUCGGGUUGUAAACCUCUUUCAGCAGGGAAGAAGCGAAAGUGACGGUACCUGCAGAAGAAGCGCCGGCUAACUACGUGCCAGCAGCCGCGGUAAUACGUAGGGCGCAAGCGUUGUCCGGAAUUAUUGGGCGUAAAGAGCUCGUAGGCGGCUUGUCACGUCGGUUGUGAAAGCCCGGGGCUUAACCCCGGGUCUGCAGUCGAUACGGGCAGGCUAUAGUUCGGUAGGGGAGAUCGGAAUUCCUGGUGUAGCGGCGAAAUGCGCAGAUAUCAGGAGGAACACCGGUGGCGAAGGCGGAUCUCUGGGCCGAUACUGACGCUGAGGAGCGAAAGUGUGGGGAGCGAACACGACUACAUACCCUGGUAGUCCACGCCGUAAACGGUGGGCACUAUGUGUGGGCAACAUUCCCCGUUGUCCGUGCCGCAGCUAACGCAUUAAGUGCCCCCGCCUGGGGAGUACGG